Plectropomus leopardus (leopard coralgrouper) is the source of this 181-nucleotide non-coding RNA. NCBI's taxonomy places the organism in Eukaryota, Metazoa, Chordata, Actinopteri, Perciformes, Serranidae. The record is from RefSeq and is a predicted model, not a curated record.
AAAGCACCUCGCAGAUCAGUCAGAUUCCCUGACCCAGAGCAACAGGAGAAUGUGGUGGAGUGUAUCAAACCAGUGGAAAAGAGGAUUUCAAGAAGAGUCAGUUUUGCCCCUGCUGAUGAUGUUCUCGUAUUUACAAAGGAUGUGAAAAAUGCCCGAAGUCCUUUGCAAGACUUAAUGACAA